RNAcentral lists this ribosomal RNA (666 nucleotides) under Triticum aestivum (bread wheat). RNAcentral's name for it is "partial small subunit ribosomal RNA". The record is from RNAcentral. Lineage: Eukaryota; Viridiplantae; Streptophyta; Magnoliopsida; Poales; Poaceae.
AUGGCGUUCCAUGGCGGCGACAUUCGGCAGCGCGCCAACUCGGCCGCCGCGGCACCCAGCCGCCGGGCUCCGAGGAGUGCCGUCCGUGGGCAAGCAUCCGGCUCCGGCGGCCCCUUCGACAAUGGUGAUGAAGAAUUGGAGGAUGAUGUGGAGGAGUUAGCGAGCUCCGGAGGUCCCCUGGUGAGCCAAAGCAAUCGAGCCCAAUGGAGUGAUGCUAAUAGUGCUUGCUUGUUAGAAUUGUGCAUUGAGCAAUGUGCAGCAGGAACGUAUAAUGGUGUGGUGAUGAGUGCUGAAGGGUACCAAACUGUUAUCGAUGGCUUGCUUGCUAGAAGGGGGUUGGUGUAUUCUCGUGUGCAGGUGAAGAACCAGAUAGUUGUACUCAAAAACACGAGACACCCAUUGAUGUCGACUCUGAAUUCUGGAUUACACACAUAUAGAAGAAACCAUGCCUUAGGAAGUUGCAGUGGGGUCCUCCAGCAAACGAGGAGUUGCUUGAUCGACCAUUCAGAGGUUACACUGUGGAUGGAAGCACAGCAUUUGUGCCUGGAGAUGAUUAUGGUCAGAAUCAAGGGCAAGAUGCAGGGGCAGAAGAGGAAGAGGAGGAGUUUCAAGGAACACCUACAAGUACAAGCAACCAGAGGGGCCAAAGGGGCAAGAGGUCAUUAA